AGUUAGUUUGAAGCAGGCACAAAUAAUGGUGUUGCAUUGAGGGUGAAUGCAGUAGCCCUGUGAAAGGUUGAUGGCAGUGUAUGGAUGUCAGGCUACAGAAAACUACAUAGAUUGAAGUCUUGGCUGAUUAUGGCUCAAGUCAUAAAGUUCUGGCUUCACAGACCAGAAGAUGGGUGAUGUAGAUGAAGUCUUCAAGUCGAGCACUGACAGUCUCACUCAACAGAUGGUAUUUGUACUGGC
Long non-coding RNA from Haliotis rubra (blacklip abalone), 240 nucleotides. RefSeq lists it as uncharacterized. The record is from RefSeq and is a predicted model, not a curated record. Lineage: Eukaryota; Metazoa; Mollusca; Gastropoda; Lepetellida; Haliotidae. The transcript is spliced from 2 exons.